GACGAACGCUGGCGGCGUGCCUAAUACAUGCAAGUUGAGCGCUGAAGGUUGGUACUUGUACCGACUGGAUGAGCAGCGAACGGGUGAGUAACGCGUGGGGAAUCUGCCUUUGAGCGGGGGACAACAUUUGGAAACGAAUGCUAAUACCGCAUAAAAACUUUAAACACAAGUUUUAAGUUUGAAAGAUGCAAUUGCAUCACUCAAAGAUGAUCCCGCGUUGUAUUAGCUAGUUGGUGAGGUAAAGGCUCACCAAGGCGAUGAUACAUAGCCGACCUGGGAGGGUGGUCGGCCACAAUGGGACCGAGACACGGCCCAAACUCCUACGGGAGGCAGCAGUAGGGAAUCUUCGGCAAUGGACGAAAGUCUGACCGAGCAACGCCGCGUGAGUGAAGAAGGUUUUCGGAUCGUAAAACUCUGUUGGUAGAGGAGAACGUUGGUGAGAGUGGAAAGCUCAUCAAGUGACGGUAACUACCCAGAAAGGGACGGCUAACUACGUG
Molecule: ribosomal RNA, 497 nt
Filed under: uncultured bacterium
Lineage: Bacteria
Description: partial 16S ribosomal RNA
Rfam family: Bacterial small subunit ribosomal RNA
Source: RNAcentral